Danio rerio (zebrafish) is the source of this 118-nucleotide ribosomal RNA. The record is from Ensembl. Lineage: Eukaryota; Metazoa; Chordata; Actinopteri; Cypriniformes; Danionidae.
GGCCACAGCCAUAAAGCCCUGCAGCCGAAGACCAGUUUCUAACUAAAGCUAAGCAGGGCUGGGCCUGGUUAGUACCUGGAUGGGAAAUCACAGGGGGAAAACUAGGUUGCUGUUGGAA